This is a long non-coding RNA of Meriones unguiculatus (Mongolian gerbil), 1540 nucleotides long. RefSeq lists it as uncharacterized. The record is from RefSeq and is a predicted model, not a curated record. Lineage: Eukaryota; Metazoa; Chordata; Mammalia; Rodentia; Muridae. The transcript has 3 exons.
AUUCCUAAUACUAAGAACAUCUGUAAUAUUGGAUGUCUGACUCCAGAAACUUCAUUUUAAUGGCAUCACAUUUGGGAACAACCUAUCCCCAAGAGAAGUCCGGCCCUAAGGUUUGUGCAUCAAGCAUCACACAAUACAACCCAUGAAGCUGGCAUGAGAUCCGUGGAUGCAGAACUGCCCAGAAAAUGCCAGGAGGACUUGUGGCUUUGUUCUGAACUUUGCGUGCAUUCUCUUAUGGUUUGAUCUCGUUGUCCUUACCAAGCUGCCUCCGUCCCUUCCAUGUGGUGUCCUUGGAGGCAGCUAGGAGUCACAGGCAGAGUAUGAAACACUGCUGUGCUGUAUGAACACUGGAGCCAGACACAAUGGGGCUGAGACAUUGUAGUGUUCAUUAGACAGAUGAGGAAAUCAAGGCAGAAAGAAGUUAUGCUACUCCCCAAAGGAAGACUGGACAGCCAUCUCUGUUGUGUGAAAGUACUACAGACCCUGGUGUCCACGAUUUGUUCGACUCUGAAAGUCCACACAGACCAUGUGACUCCGAACUCCAUCUGAGAGGGAAAGGCACCAGUUUUCUGCAGUGCUGAGUCAGUUGUACCUGCCCAGGGAAGCCAGCGUACAUCACAAUGAAAGCACUGUCUUAGAACCACAGGAACAGACUUUCUGGAAGUUCUGGAAGCUGACAGUCUGGAACUACCAUAUCCUUGGAAGGCUUUCGGUAAGAACCUAUGCCAUGCAUUCCCCUGGGUUUCUGCUCAGCAGACAUCGUCAGUUUAGGCCUUAAGCCCACGUAAGUCACCCCAUCAAUAUCCAUUAAUAUCACCCCAGUUCCACCUCAUCCUCACGUGGCUUCUUUUCUUUUAUCUUCGCAUGAGACAAGAGUCACUGGGUCUCCAGCCUGCCCUGACCCCAGUAUGCUCGCACUUCAAGGUCCUUACUUAUGCGCAAAAAAACCUUUUUCCAAAAUACAGCCACACUGGAAGGCUUUAGGCAGGCAUGAAUUUUGAGGGGAAUUUUUACCCACUACAAAUGCUUACAGCUGAACUAAGUGACUUGACAUUUACUCUUUGCGGUGUAUCAAAUUCAACUUGCAGCGCAUGCCUCUUCUUUACCUCACGCCCUCUGGGGGAACGUUUCUGCAGUACGCUGGCAAAAUCACCCAUAUUCUUGUUACUGUGCACCCCACCUUCAGAGGGGUUAGAGGAUCUUAUCUUCCUCUGUUCUGCGGGACUGUGUGGGACCUCCAGUCCUAUGCUAAGUUGAAUCCUCUGUAGGUACUUGUGCUUCUCAGUAUAAUGUGCACCUGAUUCUCUUGAUAAAAAUUCUCUUCAUAUAAAAAUCAACCUAUGAGACCUGGAGAUAUGCGAAGCAACUGUGAGGAACUGAGUUCAGUCUCUCAGCACCCAAAUAAAAAGCGAGAAAUAAUUAUGAGUGUCCUGGCAAGCUUCACAGCUGAGUAUGAUGAAUGUUUACCUUUCUCCUCUGGGACUGUACUCAGAUUCUCUCAGCACUAUGAAAGCUGGGAUGAACUUUCCUGACCAGUGCC